UAGAUUAUAGAUGUUGGCCUCAAAGUUAUCCUACAAUACAUAUUUUGACAUGAAUAACAUUAUAUACAAAGAAAUUUUUUCAAGUGAAAAUUAAAAUAACAAAUAAUUAAUUUGUAACCAAAAAGUACAACCUUACAAAUACUAUAAUAGCAAAUUAUAUGUUAUUCUUUAAGCCAAUAUAUUUCUCUGUUACUUAUCUGUACUUGAAAUUUCACAAGUAUCCGUUGGCCAUAAUAAUUGAAAUCAGGUGCAUGCAACAAACUAGAUAAUAAUGAAAUUAAAUAGAAAAAGAGAAAGUUUAAAUAAAACAUUUGUCUUCUCUAACUUCUCAGCUAUUACUUUCUUUUCAGCUUAUAUUUUCUUUUA
Molecule: long non-coding RNA, 366 nt
Filed under: Citrus sinensis (sweet orange)
Lineage: Eukaryota; Viridiplantae; Streptophyta; Magnoliopsida; Sapindales; Rutaceae
Description: long non-coding RNA (CSIN_LNC001028)
Source: RNAcentral